GACGAACGCUGGCGGCGUGCUUAACACAUGCAAGUCGAACGGAAAUAUUUAGAUAGUUUACUAGAUAAAUAUUUUAGUGGCGGACGGGUGAGUAACACGUGGGCAACCUGCCUUAGAGUGGGGGAUAACAGCGAGAAAUCGUUGCUAAUACCGCAUGAAAUUAAUAUACUGCAUGGUAUAUUAAUGAAAGGAGAAAUCCGCUAUAAGAUGGGCCCGCGCCUGAUUAGCUAGUUGGUGAGGUAAUAGCUCACCAAGGCGACGAUCAGUAGCCGAUCUGAGAGGAUGACCGGCCACACUGGAACUGAGACACGGUCCAGACUCCUACGGGAGGCAGCAGUGGGGAAUAUUGCACAAUGGGGGAAACCCUGAUGCAGCAACGCCGCGUGGAGGAAGAAGGUUUUCGGAUUGUAAACUCCUGUCUUUUGGGACGAUAAUGACGGUACCAAAAGAGGAAGCCACGGCUAACUACGUG
RNAcentral lists this ribosomal RNA (472 nucleotides) under uncultured bacterium. RNAcentral's name for it is "bacterial SSU rRNA". It matches the Rfam family "Bacterial small subunit ribosomal RNA", at positions 28 to 507 of the family's 1533-position model. The record is from RNAcentral.